This 748-nucleotide ribosomal RNA is filed under the name uncultured Bacteroidales bacterium. RNAcentral describes it as "bacterial SSU rRNA". It matches the Rfam family "Bacterial small subunit ribosomal RNA", at positions 34 to 776 of the family's 1533-position model. Lineage: Bacteria; Pseudomonadati; Bacteroidota; Bacteroidia; Bacteroidales. The record is from RNAcentral.
CGCUAGCGACAGGCUUAACACAUGCAAGUCGAGGGGCAGCGGGGGUAGCAAUACCCGCCGGCGACCGGCGCACGGGUGAGUAACGCGUAUGCAACUUACCUAUCAGAGGGGGAUAACCCGGCGAAAGUCGGACUAAUACCGCAUGAAGCAGGGGCCCCGCAUGGGGAUAUUUGCUAAAGAUUCAUCGCUGAUAGAUAGGCAUGCGUUCCAUUAGGCAGUUGGCGGGGUAACGGCCCACCAAACCGACGAUGGAUAGGGGUUCUGAGAGGAAGGUCCCCCACAUUGGUACUGAGACACGGACCAAACUCCUACGGGAGGCAGCAGUGAGGAAUAUUGGUCAAUGGGCGUAAGCCUGAACCAGCCAAGUCGCGUGAGGGAUGAAGGUUCUAUGGAUCGUAAACCUCUUUUAUAAGGGAAUAAAGUGUGGGACGUGUCCUGUUUUGUAUGUACCUUAUGAAUAAGGAUCGGCUAACUCCGUGCCAGCAGCCGCGGUAAUACGGAGGAUCCGAGCGUUAUCCGGAUUUAUUGGGUUUAAAGGGUGCGUAGGCGGCCUUUUAAGUCAGCGGUGAAAGUCUGUGGCUCAACCAUAGAAUUGCCGUUGAAACUGGGAGGCUUGAGUAUGUUUGAGGCAGGCGGAAUGCGUGGUGUAGCGGUGAAAUGCUUAGAUAUCACGCAGAACCCCGAUUGCGAAGGCAGCCUGCCAAGCCAUGACUGACGCUGAUGCACGAAAGCGUGGGGAUCAAACAGG